GUGAGGGACGAAGGCCUCUGGGCUGUAAACCUCUUUUCUCAAGGAAGAAGAUAUGACGGUACUUGAGGAAUAAGCCACGGCUAAUUCCGUGCCAGCAGCCGCGGUAAUACGGGAGUGGCAAGCGUUAUCCGGAAUUAUUGGGCGUAAAGCGUCCGCAGGCGGCUUUUCAAGUCUGCUGUUAAAGCGUGGAGCUUAACUCCAUCAUGGCAGUGGAAACUGAAAGGCUUGAGUAUGGUAGGGGCAGAGGGAAUUCCCGGUGUAGCGGUGAAAUGCGUAGAUAUCGGGAAGAACACCAGUGGCGAAGGCGCUCUGCUGGGCCAUUACUGACGCUCAUGGACGAAAGCCAGGGGAGCGAAAGGGAUUAGAUACCCCUGUAGUCCUGGCCGUAAACGAUGAACACUAGGUGUCGGGGGAAUCGACCCCUUCGGUGUCGUAGCUAACGCGUUAAGUGUUCCGCCUGGGGAGUACGCACGCAAGUGUGAAACUCAAAGGAAUUGACGGGGGCCCGCACAAGCGGUGGAGUAUGUGGUUUAAUUCGAUGCAACGCGAAGAACCUUACCAGGGUUUGACAUCCUGCGAACCUCUUAGAAAUUUGAGGGUGCCUUCGGGAAUGCAGUGACAGGUGGUGCAUGGCUGUCGUCAGCUCGUGUCGUGAGAUGUUGGGUUAAGUCCCGCAACGAGCGCAACCCACGUUUUUAGUUGCCAGCAUUUAGUUGGGCACUCUAGAAAGACCGCCGGUGAUAAACCGGAGGAAGGUGUGGAUGACGUCAAGUCA
This 775-nucleotide ribosomal RNA is filed under the name marine metagenome. Its description in RNAcentral is "bacterial SSU rRNA". It matches the Rfam family "Bacterial small subunit ribosomal RNA", at positions 401 to 1192 of the family's 1533-position model. The record is from RNAcentral.